UGCUGGAGGAUCCUUGGAUGAAGUAAUCCUGUAUUAUCAUGACUUCUUAAUGAAUUACAUGAAAUAUUCAAUAGUGAAAUAUUUUCAGCAGAGAGCACUGGAAAUUUGGAAGAAAGCAACUGAGAAAGCAAACUUUACAAUGCAUUUAAAAAGAAACAACUGUUCUUUUGCUAAUCUUCAUUUUAAUCUUUUUUAAAGAUGUGAAGAUGAAAGUGGAGAGUGAUUAAGGCUCGGGGCAUGAACACUUAUUGACUGCAGGCUUUGACUAUAUGCUUUAUCUAUCUCCAUUACACCCUCAAAGUAUCUUGUGAGGGGGGCAUGGUGUUUAUUCCCAUUUUACAGGAAAUGGAUGCUUAAGAGAGAUCACAGACUUACCUCUACGUAUACCAGAGAAGGAAAAAUGAAACCAGAGGAACUAUCUUGUCAUUCAGCCAUCAAAUACCGAGCCUGGCUUCAAACUCAACUCUCACUCCAAAACAUGUGUUGAUUUCAAAACAACAUGUCACAAUAGUAAAAAAGUAAGAGCCAUUAUCACUCUUAUUACUACCAUUGUGACUGCCUCCACUCAUUGAUGCUUCCUGUGCCAUACACCAUGAUGGCUAUUUUUGAGGUACUAUCUAAUUUAGUCAUUGUUAAGAAUCUAGUGAGUCAAACAUUGUUAUUGUUUCAGACAAAUAAUCCCUGAAAAGUUAAGUAAUUUGUCCAAGAACCAACAGCUAACAAGUGAUGACCUCAAAGCCAGGUCUAAGUACAAAGUGUUUGUACUUCUAUCAAGGUAGGGAAAAUGCAUUGGAGAUGUGAAAGUUUACCUGGUUAUCUGACAGAAUGAGAAGUCUAUGAGGUAACUGGGCAACCAGAAUUCCCAACAAUUUUUCCAAGUAGUUUUGCUUUGCUUAAUUGCCUCCGAUCCUGGUUUUGGGGGUAUGAUAUUUGGCUAAAUCUAUGUAAACUGAGAAAAGCACUCGGUGACCCUAAAAAGAAUCUUCUGUUCACUGACUUAUUGUGUUUUAAAUCAUCUCACCUAUAAUAUAUGUAAAGUAUAGUACAUCUGAUUGAUAAUUUUUAGACAGUAAUGAAUUGGCUACUCCUGCUUCUAACAACUUGGUUAUCCAUGCAUUAAUCCACUGUUUAUGCCACAUAGUUGUUUUUUUUAAGAUAGGAUUUACUGCAUAAAUCCUAUCUUAAAGCUAUGUGAAAUACUGGUUAGAAUUCAUGGUAAAGAUAAACAAGAAACUUUAUGAAAAGUAUAGAAGAUUUUAAACAAACAUACUCUGAUUUUAUACUGAUUUAUAUACUCUGAUUUUAGACUAUCUUUCCAGGGUUUAUAGUAAGCUAUUAAAUACUGGAAAUCCUCUUCAUGGUCAUGUUUUGGGGGCAGGUAUAAGAAGAUACAUCAAGUGACUUUAAACUUCAAAUAAUUUUAAUCAAUGUAUUUUGUCAUUCUCAAUAUCCUGUUUUGAUGUUUCACCCAUUUUUUGUGUGUGUCAUACUCCUCAUACUCCUGUCUUUUUCAAGUUCUUUUUUUUUAGUUCGAUAGAGGACUAUGUUACCAUUUGGCAUAUGUCUCCCUUGUCAGUGACAUCUUGAAAAUUAAAAAAAAUAAUACCUCCCUUGCCUGCAUCCACUCAGGUUGGCUGCCUGUAACUGCCCCAUGCUUCAAAAUAUGUCAUCUUAUUAAAUUCUGCAAACUGUUCUGAACAUUGUCUCUAUAAAUGUUUUGGAAGGGCUUUACUGUCAGGUCAGCUUUCUAAGGGCUAGAAAUAUGUCAAACCUGGCAGCCUUACCUUUAUUUAAGAGCCAAAAUACAAAUAAGUAGAUUACAAAGCAAUCAAUCAAUACAGCGUUGCAGGAUGUUACGGUUGGCAUUGACCUCGAAGUUCGGCACCCUCAUUUUACAGAUGAGUAAGCUCAUCCGUAACUCUGUAGGAGAUGGGGUUUUGCCUUGACUCCGUUAUAGCUGGCUGGGUCACCUUGGACAUGCUGCUGUGCCUCAGUUUACCCACGUGAAUGAGAGAUGCUUUCCCUUUCUUAGAUAAUUCCCAGGCAUUUAACCACGUCAAGUCUCUAGGUGCCAUGAGAAAGGUGAUACAUUUGAUGCAUUUCUGACUUCACACAGAACAUUCCCCUUAUAUUUUAUGGGAUC
This is a long non-coding RNA of Cervus elaphus (red deer), 2143 nucleotides long. RefSeq lists it as uncharacterized. The record is from RefSeq and is a predicted model, not a curated record. Lineage: Eukaryota; Metazoa; Chordata; Mammalia; Artiodactyla; Cervidae. The transcript has 3 exons.